RNAcentral lists this long non-coding RNA (295 nucleotides) under Callithrix jacchus (white-tufted-ear marmoset). Its description in RNAcentral is "lncRNA (ENSCJAG00000081378.1)". Lineage: Eukaryota; Metazoa; Chordata; Mammalia; Primates; Cebidae. The record is from RNAcentral.
GCAUGAAGACCCAUGGAGGUUUAGUCUUUUGGGACAAGGCUAUAUAGGCAGCGACUUGACAAAGUAAAGAUUCAAACCCAGGACUGUCAGGCUCAAGCCAUCACAUUGCCUCAUGGAGUCUGAGAAGUGGUCAUAGUGAAGGUCACAUACUGAAAAUGGGAGCAUCACCCGCUGAAAGGAGAUGAGAUCAUGGUAUCAUUUUUUAGACAAGAACAACCCAGGAGAGCCACAGAUCUUCACAGAAUCAUGUGAUGAAAAAACAGAGUAAUUUAAAAACAGAAGGCUAAUAUGUGAU